RNAcentral lists this ribosomal RNA (248 nucleotides) under uncultured bacterium. Its description in RNAcentral is "partial 16S ribosomal RNA". It matches the Rfam family "Bacterial small subunit ribosomal RNA", at positions 524 to 776 of the family's 1533-position model. The record is from RNAcentral.
UACGGAGGGUGCAAGCGUUGUCCGGAAUCACUGGGCGUAAAGGGCGCGUAGGUGGCCUGGUAAGUCUGUGGUGAAAGCCCGGGGCUCAACCCCGGUCGGCCGUGCGAACUGUGGACUGGAGCUUGUCAGAGGCAGGCGGAAUUCCGGUGUAGCGGUGAAAUGCAUAGAUAUUGUCAAGAACACCAAUUGCGUAGGCAGCUUACUAAGUAUAACUGACGCUGAGGCACGGAAGUGCGGGAUCAAACAGG